This 316-nucleotide ribosomal RNA is filed under the name uncultured bacterium. RNAcentral describes it as "bacterial SSU rRNA". It matches the Rfam family "Bacterial small subunit ribosomal RNA", at positions 335 to 643 of the family's 1533-position model. The record is from RNAcentral.
ACUCCUACGGGAGGCAGCAGUAGGGAAUAUUGGACAAUGGGCGAAAGCCUGAUCCAGCAAUGCCGCGUGAGUGAUGAAGGCCUAUGGGUCGUAAAGCUCUGUCGUAUAGGAAUAAAUGCCUGUGGUUAAUACCGCAGGAGCUGAAGGUACUAUACAAGAAAGCACCGGCUAACUACGUGCCAGCAGCCGCGGUAAUACGUAGGGUGCUAGCGUUGUUCGGAAUUACUGGGCGUAAAGCGCAUGUAGGCGGGAGGCUAAGUCAGAUGUGAAAGCCCUGGCUCAAGCCUGGGACGUGCAUCUGAUACUGGUCUUGCUU